Molecule: ribosomal RNA, 540 nt
Filed under: uncultured Thermosipho sp.
Lineage: Bacteria; Thermotogati; Thermotogota; Thermotogae; Thermotogales; Fervidobacteriaceae
Description: bacterial SSU rRNA
Rfam family: Bacterial small subunit ribosomal RNA
Source: RNAcentral
AACGGCUCACCAAGCCUACGACGGGUAGCCGGUCUGAGAGGAUGGCCGGCCACAAGGGCACUGAGACACGGGCCCUACUCCUACGGGAGGCAGCAGUGGGGGAUUUUGGACAAUGGGCGAAAGCCUGAUCCAGCGACGCCGCGUGCGGGAUGAAGCCCUUCGGGGUGUAAACCGCUGUGGUGGGAGACGAAUAAGGUAAGGAGUGGAAAGCCUUACCGAUGACGGUAUCCCACUAGAAAGCCCCGGCUAACUACGUGCCAGCAGCCGCGGUAAUACGUAGGGGGCAAGCGUUACCCGGAUUCACUGGGCGUAAAGGGGGCGUAGGCGGCCGUGUAAGUCCGGUGUGAAAUGCCACGGCUCAACCGUGGAACUGCGCUGGAAACUACACGCUUGAGGACGGUAGAGGGAGACGGAACUGCUGGUGUAGGGGUGAAAUCCGUAGAUAUCAGCAGGAACGCCGGUGGGGAAGCCGGUCUCCUGGGCCGUUCCUGACGCUGAGGCCCGAAAGCUAGGGGAGCGAACCGGAUUAGAUACCCGGGU